Non-coding RNA from Pelobates cultripes (western spadefoot toad), 418 nucleotides. NCBI's taxonomy places the organism in Eukaryota, Metazoa, Chordata, Amphibia, Anura, Pelobatidae. The record is from the annotation of a GenBank genome assembly.
CCUAUAACAACUAUCUUGUCUGUGUUCACAAUUAAAUGUUUAUAAGAAUAAUCUAUGGGAUCUAAGACCAUUUGACUGCUGUAAAGUAGAGGGGUAAGUAAGAAAAAAGUGUUGACAACACUGUUCGAAGUCCAUCAUUAUUACACAAAGGCCCUAUAUGUUGAAAUAAACAGCAUUCCAGGCUUCUUUGGUCACAGAGAAUCACAAAGGCAUAAUAAGUGGGUUACAUUGUUGCAGUGUAUUACAUUUUAUCACAAUAUCAUUUUUUAUGGAAAUGUGAGGUUAUUCUUAAAAAUAGGUGUCAAACUGCUAGAACUGAAAUCUUUCUUAUAUUUCAACCUUAAAUAAGAAAGUAUGAGUUUGUGAGUCACAAUGAAAUAAUGUCAAUUACCCUUAAAAUAUUUUGCUUUGAUUAUCU